Molecule: unclassified non-coding RNA, 393 nt
Filed under: Hevea brasiliensis (rubber tree)
Lineage: Eukaryota; Viridiplantae; Streptophyta; Magnoliopsida; Malpighiales; Euphorbiaceae
Source: RNAcentral
UGAGCUUAGUGUUUUGGAACUCAGAAGGUGAAUUCUUGGUCCACCUUCAAUGGCUGGACAUUGGUUGGCAGUACCAGUUCCCUUUACAUCCAAAUAUGUCUUGCUCUGAAUUCCAUCAUAGGUUAGCCUCUUUGGGACUCCUUCAGCACCUGCUCCCUGAAAAAAUAUUGAUCAUGAACAGGGCUCUGAUGUUGGAUUAUUUCAUGAUUGAACAGUGUAUGCUAAUAAACUAAUAUCACACAUACUCCUAGGAUAUAAGAAAGUAAUGGGAAUUAAAUUGAUAAUGAUAACCAAAAUGAAAGUGAUCAUGCUCAUUAAUUAUUGAAGCAGAUGAAUUUAGAGAAUUAAUGGCUAAAACACACCGAGACCACAAGAGCAGAAGUAGCAAGAGCA